RNAcentral lists this ribosomal RNA (389 nucleotides) under uncultured Alphaproteobacteria bacterium. Its description in RNAcentral is "bacterial SSU rRNA". It matches the Rfam family "Bacterial small subunit ribosomal RNA", at positions 9 to 416 of the family's 1533-position model. Lineage: Bacteria; Pseudomonadati; Pseudomonadota; Alphaproteobacteria. The record is from RNAcentral.
GAGUUUGAUCUUGGCUCAGAACGAACGCUGGCGGCAUGCCUAACACAUGCAAGUCGAACGGGAUCCUGGUUUCGGCCAGGUGAGAGUGGCGGACGGGUGAGUAACGCGUGGGAACCUGCCCAGUGGUGGGGGAUAACUGCGGGAAACUGCAGCUAAUACCGCAUGAGCCCGAAAGGGGAAAGAUUCAUCGCCAUUGGAGGGGCCCGCGUUCGAUUAGGUAGUUGGUGGGGUAAUGGCCUACCAAGCCUGCGAUCGAUAGCUGGUCUGAGAGGAUGAUCAGCCACACUGGGACUGAGAUACGGCCCAGACUCCUACGGGAGGCAGCAGUGGGGAAUAUUGGACAAUGGGGGCAACCCUGAUCCAGCAAUGCCGCGUGAGUGAUGAAGGCC